GAGGGAAAGGUGAAAAGCACCCCGGGAGGGGAGUGAAACAGUUCCUGAAACCGUGCGCCUACAAUCCGUCGGAGCCUCCUUGGGGGGUGACGGCGUGCCUAUCGAAAAAUGAGUCUGCGAGUCAGUGGUGCGUGGCGAGCGUAAGCCGUGUGGUGUACGCGUAGCGAAGGCGAGUCUUAAAAGGCGUUUGAGUCGCGCGCCUUGGACCCGAAGCGGGAUGAUCUAGCCCUGGGCAGGUUGAAGCGCGGGUAAGACCGCGUGGAGGACCGAACCCACCUGGGUUUAAAACCGGGGGGAUGACCUGGGGCUAGGGGUGAAAGGCCAAUCAAAUUCCGUGAUAGCUGGUUCUCUCCGAAAUGCAUUUAGGUGCAGCGUCGGGUGAUUGCGUCCGGGGGGUAGAGCUACUGGAUGCUUACGGGCCCAUAUCGGGUACCAAUAGCAGCCAAACUCCGAAUACCCGUGGCGUGUAUCCCGGCAGUGAGUCGGCGGGGGAUAAGCUCCGUCGUCGAAAGGGAAACAGCCCAGACCGUCGUCUAAGGUCCCCAAGCGCGUGCUAAGUGGGAAAGGAUGUGGAGUCGCAUAGACAGCCAGGAGGUUGGCUUAGAAGCAGCCACCCUUGAAAGAGUGCGUAACAGCUCACUGGUCUAGUGGUUCCGCGCCGACAAUGUAGCGGGGCUCAAGCACGCCACCGAAGACGCGGCAGCGUUUCGUACGCUGGGUAGGAGAGCGUCCCCUGCGGGGCGAAGCGGCGGAGUAAUCCUGCCGUGGACCGUUGGGGAGUGAGAAUGCAGACAUGAGUAGCGAGAGGCGGGUGAAGAUCCCGCCCGCUGGAUGACCAAGGGUUCCAGGGCCACGUUCAUCGUCCCUGGGUGAGUCGGGUCCUAAGGCGAGGCCGACAGGCGUAGUCGAAUGGAUGAACGGGUCGAUAUUCCCGUACCGGCUUUCAGCCGCCAAAACCGAAAGGGUGAGCACUAACCUCCGCGUCGUCGUCUCCCCGGCCUUCGGGCCUGGGUCGCGGCGUCGUGUUGGGACCGUAGCCCCGGUAGGUCAGCGCAGGAGUGACGCAGAAGGGUAGCCGGCCGCGGAGGUGGUUUUCCGUGGCCAAGCACGCAGCCCGUCCCCCAGGCAAAUCCGGGGGGCAUCAGGGCGAGGUGCGAUGGUGGGGCCCGUAUGGGCCGAAUCCGGUGAUCCCGGCUGCCGAGAAAAGCUUCGGCGUCAGGCUGUCAGCCGCCCGUACCCCAAACCGACACUGGUGGUCAGGUAGAGAAUACCAAAGCGAUCGAGCGAAUCCUGGUCAAGGAACUCGGCAAAUUACUCCCGUGCCUUCGGUAUAAGGGAGACCCCUGCGGGUGAACCAGCUAGCCUGGGGAGCGUGCGGGGGUGGCACAGACCAGGGGGUAGCGACUGUUUACCAAAAACACAGGAGCGUGCGAAGACGUAAGUCGCUGUAUACGCUCUGACGCCUGCCCGGUGCCGGAAGGUUAAGAGGAUCCGUCAUCCCUUCGGGGGGCAGCGGUGAAUUCAAGCCCCGGUAAACGGCGGUGGUAACUAUAACCAUCCUAAGGUAGCGAAAUUCCUUGUCGGGUAAGUU
RNAcentral lists this ribosomal RNA (1591 nucleotides) under metagenome. RNAcentral describes it as "bacterial LSU rRNA". It matches the Rfam family "Bacterial large subunit ribosomal RNA", at positions 505 to 1982 of the family's 2925-position model. The record is from RNAcentral.